RNAcentral lists this ribosomal RNA (252 nucleotides) under uncultured bacterium. Its description in RNAcentral is "partial 16S ribosomal RNA". It matches the Rfam family "Bacterial small subunit ribosomal RNA", at positions 524 to 775 of the family's 1533-position model. The record is from RNAcentral.
UACGAGGGGGGCAAAUGUUGUUCGGAAUCACUGGGCGUAAAGGGAGCGUAGGCGGGUUUCUAAGUCAGGUGUUUAAUCCCGGGGCCCAACCCCGGACAGGCACUUGAAACUGGGAAUCUUGAAUAGUGGAGAGGUCAGUGGAAUUGGGGGUGUAGCGGUGGAAUGCGUAGAGAUCCCCAAGAACACCAGUUGCGAAGGCGGCUGACUGGACACAUAUUGACGCUGAGGCCCGAAAGCAUGGGGAGCAACAGG